UUAAGUUCAGCGGGUAUUCCUACCUAAUUCGAGGUCAACGUAUAGGAGACAGGUGUCGUUCUUUCCGGCCGGACAGCCCCCGGGGGCCGAGACGAAGAUGUGACUGCGCUCGGUUCCAAGGGGGCCACCGCCGCUCGCUUUGGGAGGCUGCGCGGGGCGCAGUCCUCCAACGCCAGGCAGGGCCUGAGCGGUGCGAAUGA
RNAcentral lists this unclassified non-coding RNA (200 nucleotides) under Melanochaeta sp. (in: ascomycete fungi). RNAcentral's name for it is "Melanochaeta sp. (in: Fungi) partial internal transcribed spacer 2". Lineage: Eukaryota; Fungi; Ascomycota; Sordariomycetes; Chaetosphaeriales; Chaetosphaeriaceae. The record is from RNAcentral.